AUGAAUUCUAACUUCCGCGCUACUCAUCCAUGUGCAGAGGGGAAUAGCAGGUUAUGCGUCUCCGUGAGAGACUACUACUGUUACAUGCUGCAGACACGACCUGGGAUAUUCAAUCCCAUACUCUGUGGAGCACGAUUGCUCCAGCAAUGGGGGGUGGACAUGUACAUCAAGAUUGAGAGUUGUAGGUUGAAAUGGUACAGGAAGAACCAGACAAAGAUCCGUGCCGACCUGUAUAAAGGAGUUGUUGAUGCAAUUACAUCCGGGGAGACCCGGGCAAGCGCUGUUGGAGUAAGGAUAGUG
RNAcentral lists this ribosomal RNA (300 nucleotides) under Triticum aestivum (bread wheat). RNAcentral's name for it is "partial small subunit ribosomal RNA". The record is from RNAcentral. Lineage: Eukaryota; Viridiplantae; Streptophyta; Magnoliopsida; Poales; Poaceae.